CAGUUCGGAUAAGAGGCUGAAACUCGCCUCUUUGAAGUCGGAAUCGCUAGUAAUCGCAGAUCAGCAUGUUGCGGUGAAUACGUUUCCUGGUCUUGUACACACCGCCCGUCAAACCAUGAGAGUCGCCAACACCCGAAGUCCGCUUUGCGGCCUAAGGUGGGGGAGAUGAUUGGGGUUAAGUCGUAACAAGGUAGC
This 195-nucleotide ribosomal RNA is filed under the name uncultured bacterium. RNAcentral's name for it is "partial 16S ribosomal RNA". It matches the Rfam family "Bacterial small subunit ribosomal RNA", at positions 1289 to 1500 of the family's 1533-position model. The record is from RNAcentral.